Molecule: ribosomal RNA, 466 nt
Filed under: uncultured bacterium
Lineage: Bacteria
Description: partial 16S ribosomal RNA
Rfam family: Bacterial small subunit ribosomal RNA
Source: RNAcentral
CUACGGGGGGCACCAGUGGGGAAUAUUGCACAAUGGGCGCAAGCCUGAUGCAGCCAUGCCGCGUGUAUGAAGAAGGCCUUCGGGUUGUAAAGUACUUUCAGCGGGGAGGAAGGGAGUAAAGUUAAUACCUUUGCUCAUUGACGUUACCCGCAGAAGAAGCACCGGCUAACUCCGUGCCAGCAGCCGCGGGUGAAUACGGAGGGUGCAAGCGUUAAUCGGAAUUACUGGGCGUAAAGCGCACGCAGGCGGUUUGUUAAGUCAGAUGUGAAAUCCCCGGGCUCAACCUGGGAACUGCAUCUGAUACUGGUAAGCUUGAGUCUCGUAGAGGGGGGUAGAAUUCCAGGUGUAGCGGUGAAAUGCGUAGAGAUCUGGAGGAAUACCGGUGGCGAAGGCGGCCCCCUGGACGAAGACUGACGCUCAGGUGCGAAAGCGUGGGGAGCAAACAGGAUUAGAUACCCCGGUAGUC